Molecule: ribosomal RNA, 460 nt
Filed under: uncultured bacterium
Lineage: Bacteria
Description: partial 16S ribosomal RNA
Rfam family: Bacterial small subunit ribosomal RNA
Source: RNAcentral
CCUACGGGAGGCAGCAGUGAGGAAUAUUGGUCAAUGGACGAGAGUCUGAACCAGCCAAGUAGCGUGAAUGAUGACUGCCCUAUGGGUUGUAAACUUCGUUUAUAUGGGAAUAAAAUGUUCCACGUGUGGGAUUUUGUAUGUACCAUAUGAAUAAGGAUCGGCGAACUCCGUGCCAGCAGCCGCGGUAAUACGGAGGAUCCGAGCGUUAUCCGGAUUUAUUGGGUUUAAAGGGAGCGUAGGUGGAUUGUUAAGUCAGUUGUGAAAGUUUGCGGCUCAACCGUAAAAUUGCAGUUGAAACUGGCAGUCUUGAGUACAGUAGAGGUGGGCGGAAUUCGUGGUGUAGCGGUGAAAUGCUUAGAUAUCACGAAGAACUCCGAUUGCGAAGGCAGUUCACUGGACUGCAACUGACACUGAGGCUCGAAAGUGUGGGUAUCAAACAGGAUUAGAUACCCCUGUAGUC